This 102-nucleotide transfer RNA is filed under the name Dactylellina haptotyla CBS 200.50. It matches the Rfam family "tRNA". From Rfam's summary of the family: Transfer RNA (tRNA) molecules are approximately 80 nucleotides in length. Their secondary structure includes four short double-helical elements and three loops (D, anti-codon, and T loops). Further hydrogen bonds mediate the characteristic L-shaped molecular structure. tRNAs have two regions of fundamental functional importance: the anti-codon, which is responsible for specific mRNA codon recognition, and the 3' end, to which the tRNAs corresponding amino acid is attached (by aminoacyl-tRNA synthetases). tRNAs cope with the degeneracy of the genetic code in two manners: having more than one tRNA (with a specific anti-codon) for a particular amino acid; and 'wobble' base-pairing, i.e. permitting non-standard base-pairing at the 3rd anti-codon position. The record is from Rfam by way of RNAcentral. Lineage: Eukaryota; Fungi; Ascomycota; Orbiliomycetes; Orbiliales; Orbiliaceae.
GGUUGAAUAGUGUAGUUGGUUAUCACAUCGGAUUUUGAUUAGUGCUUAGAGAGGGUGCUUACAAAACUUCCGGUGACCUGGGUUCGAAUCCCGGUUCGACCU